Molecule: long non-coding RNA, 220 nt
Organism: Papaver somniferum (opium poppy)
Lineage: Eukaryota; Viridiplantae; Streptophyta; Magnoliopsida; Ranunculales; Papaveraceae
Exons: 3
Source: RefSeq, a predicted model, not a curated record
AUUCAUUUUUGCAGAAAUUGGAAGAAAACAAGUAUCGCCAAAAGAAAAGUGUAUCAGAAAGAUUCACUUCUAUGAAUAGCUUGUACAAACAUCCAGAUGCUAGAGCAAGUACUUGUACUCAAUGAUUCCUACAGUUCUAUACCUUGGUUUCUGAGGUUCAAUUACCUGGUUGGAGAGGGAACUUAUGUCGCUUCCACUGCCCGAAGCCAUGACAAAGAUU